Molecule: ribosomal RNA, 393 nt
Filed under: uncultured bacterium
Lineage: Bacteria
Description: partial 16S ribosomal RNA
Rfam family: Bacterial small subunit ribosomal RNA
Source: RNAcentral
AUACGGAGGAUGCGAGCGUUAUCCGGAUUUAUUGGGUUUAAAGGGUGCGUAGGCGGUUUUUUAAGUCAGCGGUGAAACGCAAGGGCUCAACCCUUGACCUGCCGUUGAAACUGGAGGACUUGAAUGCGGAUGCUGUGGGAGGAAUGUGUGGUGUAGCGGUGAAAUGCAUAGAUAUCACACAGAACACCGAUUGCGAAGGCAUCUCACAAAUCCGUGAUUGACGCUGAGGCACGAAAGUGUGGGGAUCAAACAGGAUUAGAUACCCUGGUAGUCCACACUGUAAACGAUGAUGACUCGUUGUCGGCGAUAUACAGUCGGUGGCCAAGCGAAAGCGAUAAGUCAUCCACCUGGGGAGUACGACCGCAAGGUUGAAACUCAAAUGAAUUGACGGGG